Molecule: ribosomal RNA, 950 nt
Filed under: uncultured bacterium
Lineage: Bacteria
Description: bacterial SSU rRNA
Rfam family: Bacterial small subunit ribosomal RNA
Source: RNAcentral
GGUGAACGCUGGCGGCGUGCUUGACACAUGCAAGUCGAACGGUAUGUGGCAACACAUAGAGUGGCGAACGGGUGAGUAACACGUGGGAACGUACCUUCUGCAGGGGGAUAACUGACCGAAAGGACAGCUAAUACCGCAUAAGACCGAGAGGAGAAAGGUGCAACAGCAUCGGCAGAGGAGCGGCCCGCGGACCAUCAGCUAGUUGGUGGGGUAAGAGCCUACCAAGGCAACGACGGAUAGCCGGCGUGAGAGCGUGGCCGGCCACAAGGACACUGAGAUACGGGUCCUACUCCUACGGGAGGCAGCAGUGCGGAAUUUUAGAUAAUGGAGGCAACUCUGAUCUAGCGACGCCGCGUGCAGGAAGAAGGUCUUCGGAUUGUAAACUGCUGUGGUAAGGGAAAAAUGCCAUGUAGAGUGGAAAGCUACAUGGAGGGAUGGUACUUUACUAGAAAGCCCCGGCUAACUACGUGCCAGCAGCCGCGGUAAUACGUAGGGGGCGAGCGUUACCCGGAAUCACUGGGCGUAAAGGGAGCGUAGGUGGCCUGACAUGUCGACUGUGAAAACCCGGAGCUCAACUCCGGACUUGCAGUUGAAACUGCCAGGCUUGAGGACGGUAGAGGAAGACGGAACUGCCAGUGUAGGGGUAAAAUCCUUAGAUAUUGGCAGGAACGCCGGUGACGAAGGUGGUUUUCUGGGCCGGUUCUGACACUGAUGCUCGAAAGCCAGGGGAGCGAACGGGAUUAGAUACCCCGGUAGUCCUGGCCCUAAACGAUGUUCACUAGGUGUGGGGAGCGGAAAGCUUUCCGUGCUAAAGCUAACGCGAUAAGUGAACCGCCUGGGGAGUACGCCCGCAAGGGUGAAACUCAAAGGAAUUGACGGGGCCCGCACAAGCGGUGGAGCGUGUGGUUUAAUUCGAUGCUAAGCGAAGACCUUACCAAGGUUUGACAUGC